RNAcentral lists this small RNA (91 nucleotides) under Mytilus galloprovincialis (Mediterranean mussel). Lineage: Eukaryota; Metazoa; Mollusca; Bivalvia; Mytilida; Mytilidae. The record is from RNAcentral.
AGGUGUUUUUUUUCGGGUGUGACUUUUUACCCCAAUAUAUAUUGGGGUAUAUUGGGGUAAAAAGUCACGCCGCCAGAAAUACACAGAAACA